AGCGCAGGCGGGAAGACAAGUUGGAAGUGAAAACCAUGGGCUCAACCCAUGAAUUGCUUUCAAAAACUGUUUUUCUUGAGUAGUGCAGAGGUAGAUGGAAUUCCCGGUGUAGCGGUGGAAUGCGUAGAUAUCGGGAGGAACACCAGUGGCGAAGGCGGUCUACUGGGCACCAACUGACGCUGAGGCUCGAAAGCAUGGGUAGCAAACA
This 208-nucleotide ribosomal RNA is filed under the name uncultured bacterium. RNAcentral describes it as "partial 16S ribosomal RNA". It matches the Rfam family "Bacterial small subunit ribosomal RNA", at positions 568 to 774 of the family's 1533-position model. The record is from RNAcentral.